This 27-nucleotide non-coding RNA is filed under the name Homo sapiens (human). Lineage: Eukaryota; Metazoa; Chordata; Mammalia; Primates; Hominidae. The record is from RNAcentral.
UCCCAAAGCACAGAGAGGUUAAAUUAC